GAUGAACGCUGGCGGCGUGCCUAAUACAUGCAAGUCGAGCGAACGGACGCUAAGCUUGCUUUUCUGAUGUUAGCGGCGGACGGGUGAGUAACACGUGGAUAACCUACCUAUAAGACUGGGAUAACUUCGGGACACCGGAGCUAAUACCGGAUAAUAUUUUGAACCGCAUGGUUCAAAAGUGAAAGUCGGUCUUGCUGUCACUUAUAGAUGCAUCCGCGCUGCAUUAGCUGGUUGGUAGGGUAACGGCUUACCAAGGCGACGAUGCAUAGCCGACGUGAGAGGGUGAUAGGCCACACUGGAACUGAGACACGGUCCAGACUCCUACGGGAGGCAGCAGUAGGGAAUCUUCCGCAAUGGGCGAAAGCCUGACGGAGCAACGCCGCGUGAGUGAUGAAGGUCUUCGGAUCGUAAAACUCUGUUAUUGGGGAAGAACAGAUGUGUAAGGAACUGUGCACAUCUUGACGGUACCUAAUCAGAAAGCCACGGCUAACUACGUG
Molecule: ribosomal RNA, 497 nt
Filed under: uncultured bacterium
Lineage: Bacteria
Description: partial 16S ribosomal RNA
Rfam family: Bacterial small subunit ribosomal RNA
Source: RNAcentral